RNAcentral lists this ribosomal RNA (141 nucleotides) under Globigerinoides ruber albus. Its description in RNAcentral is "partial small subunit ribosomal RNA". The record is from RNAcentral. Lineage: Eukaryota; Foraminifera; Rotaliida; Globigerinidae.
UGGUCUAGGAUCACAUGACUUGCCCCUGGGACUCUUUUGAACGCAANGGACGUGAUUGCAACCCCUUGUUGAGAUUANAGAUAGUCUCGAUAUUCACUGGACAAACUGGCUGCUUUAUGCAGNCUUGUUGAAUGGUGGAUA